RNAcentral lists this long non-coding RNA (949 nucleotides) under Homo sapiens (human). Its description in RNAcentral is "HSALNT0378060". Lineage: Eukaryota; Metazoa; Chordata; Mammalia; Primates; Hominidae. The record is from RNAcentral.
CUCCACAGCCCCGAAGUCUCAGCUCAGGAAGGGUGAGUGCUGGGGGAUUAUCAGCUGGGGCUCGGCUCCCUCCCUUGCAGACAGCAAGCAGGUAAGGGCUUCAUUUUGCUGUUUUCUCCAUGGAGGGCUCUGGGAAAGGAUCCUGCAAGUUGGAACCUCCUAAGACUCCAGAACCAGGAGCGGCUCCCUCUCAUAUCUACUCCCCUCAAACCCUGUCAUUCCCGGGAAGCUCCCAGAGGCAGCUGAGGCCACGCCCCUGCUCCUGAGCGGCAGCAUCCAGACCCGGAAAGGACCUAGUUUCAGCCUGGCACCUCCCAAGAGGAGGACUCCCAGGCUCAGAGAUGUUAAGGAACUUCCUUGGGGGUCACACAGUGAGUCAGCAGCCCAGCCACGAUUCAAGUCCAGGUCAACCUGACCCCAAAGUCUGUGUUGAGACAUUAUGCCACGGUCCCUCCAGCACUACUCUCAUUCCACCAAUGCUUACUGAGCCUGACUCCUUGUAAGUGACCAAGGAUACAGCGAUGAGAAAUGCACAGCCCGGCCCUGCAGAGGCUCAGAGUGCGGCGAGGACAAGACGUGAGAACCACGGCGUGUGCUGUGCCUGAGGGAGCUGUGGGGACACUGAGAAGGAGCCCCUCACCCAGAUGGGGGCUGUUCCUAUUUUAUUCCUGCCCACAAGCCACCAGGUGACCCCUGAAAAGCUUUGAGACCAUAGGACCCUGCCUGGAGUGACUUCUGUGUGUCCUCCUGGGGAAAAGGACCAGUCUCUCUCCUAUGAGGGUGGGAGCCUCCACUUUGGUGUGUGACCCCUGAGGGAGAAGUGAACGUGAAGACAUGAAGGAGGCACUGCCUGCAGCCUGAAUUUCUCGGGUGGCCUCAGGCUUAUCCCAGCAAAGAACCCCAUAAACAGGGCAGGGAUGUCGGGCUCCAGAAAUGGGCCUGCCCUGUU